CUCGGUUCAGCACCUGAGAAAAUGCAGUUGCCCUGCAGGACAUUCAUGUCGUGUGGGGCUGCAGAGUGCUGGAACUUGGUCUUCUGCAAAGGCUCUCUUGUCGUGGGUUUCUACCCAAAUCGGUAUUUUCCAGGCGUUCCAGGACUGCGGCUGAGAGGGGCUGGAGCCAGUCCACAGCCCAGAGCAGGAUCACCUGUUCCCCAUUGCACAGGGACUCAAUCUGCUGGGAGGGAUGGAUCCAUCAACAGAUAACUGCAUAGCCAUGUUGUAGAAACAGUGCCAGAAAUGUGUGCAGGGAGUGAAGGAAGCACCGAGGAGGAAGCCGACCCAGCCAGGUGAGGCGGGGAUGCUGAUGGAAGGAGGCUUUCAAGAGGGGGGUGUGAUGUUUGAGCCAAGUCUCAAAAGAGGAGUAAAAGUAAGUCAGAUGGAGGUGGAGGAGGAGGCUGGCAGAAAAGAAGGCAUCCCCUGCACAAGAGCGAAGGCCGAGGAGAGACUCCGCCUGGCGCCUGCGGAGUUAGGCACUAGUGCUGCUGGAACCACUGUGUUCCUGGUGGGAAUGAGGAAGCUGUCAUGGGCCAAGAGGGAGUGGCGUGGUUUGACUGCACGACUUGGCUGCAGAGGUAAGAGUUGAGAAUAGCCCCCUAGGAGAGUGGGAGAUGGUGUGGACCAGCGAUGAGGAAAAGAUUCAGUCCUGCAGAGGGCCCCAGAGGGGCUGGAGACCAUGAUAUUUUAGUGGAAUUCGCCCAUGUGGUUACCAGAUUUUCUCCAGAAAUACUUAGCUACCAGUGUAUGGCAGGAAAGAAGGACAUUGGUCCAGAAUUAGGGUUUCCUUGUGAAAAUGAAGGCAGGCAUCUGAAUUUGGAGCCCCAGAUCUUAGACCAGGUUUACUCAGGUAGAACCAGGCACACAAUUCAAAUCUGCUUUCGGUUCAGAUGGAGGGGAAGAUGCAGGACCCGGGGGAGGAGGG
RNAcentral lists this long non-coding RNA (967 nucleotides) under Equus caballus (horse). Its description in RNAcentral is "lncRNA (ENSECAG00000053166.1)". Lineage: Eukaryota; Metazoa; Chordata; Mammalia; Perissodactyla; Equidae. The record is from RNAcentral.